GGUCUUUUCGUCUAGUUCGGUGAGGACGUUAGCUUUUCAUGUUAAAAACAUGGGUUCAAAUCCCAUAAAGAUCA
This 74-nucleotide transfer RNA is filed under the name Heterostelium pallidum. RNAcentral describes it as "tRNA-Glu". It matches the Rfam family "tRNA". Rfam says of the family: Transfer RNA (tRNA) molecules are approximately 80 nucleotides in length. The record is from RNAcentral. Lineage: Eukaryota; Evosea; Eumycetozoa; Acytosteliales; Acytosteliaceae.